RNAcentral lists this ribosomal RNA (470 nucleotides) under uncultured soil bacterium. Its description in RNAcentral is "bacterial SSU rRNA". It matches the Rfam family "Bacterial small subunit ribosomal RNA", at positions 26 to 518 of the family's 1533-position model. The record is from RNAcentral.
AGGACGAACGCUGGCGGCGUGCUUAACACAUGCAAGUCGAGCGGUGAACUUCCUUCGGGAAGGAAUCAGCGGCGAACGGGUGAGUAACACGUGGGCAACCUGCCCUCAGCUCUGGGAUAACUCCUCGAAAGAGGGGCUAAUACCGGAUACGACUUCCUUUGGCAUCACGGGAAGUGGAAAGUUUUUCGGCUGAGGAUGGGCCCGCGGCCUAUCAGCUUGUUGGUGGGGUAAUGGCCCACCAAGGCGACGACGGGUAGCCGGCCUGGAGAGGGGCGACCGGCCACGACUGGGACUGAGACACGGCCCAGACUCCUACGGGAGGCAGCAGUGGGGAAUAUGCGCAAUGGGCAAAGCCUGACGCAGCGACGCCGCGUGAGGGAUGAAGGCCUUGGUGUAAACCUCUUUCAGCAGGGACGAAGCGAAAGUGACGUACCUGCAGAGAAGCACCGGCAACACGUGCCAGCAGCCGC